Molecule: ribosomal RNA, 1199 nt
Filed under: Lomaantha brachypus
Lineage: Eukaryota; Fungi; Ascomycota
Description: partial large subunit ribosomal RNA
Rfam family: Eukaryotic large subunit ribosomal RNA
Source: RNAcentral
AAAUUUGAAAUCUGGCCCUCCGGCCCGAGUUGUACUUUGCAGAGGAUGCUUCUGGCGCGGCGCCUUCCAAGUCCCCUGGAACGGGGCGCCGGAGAGGGUGAGAGCCCCGUACGGUCGGCCGCCAAGCCUGUGCGAAGCUCCUUCGACGAGUCGAGUAGUUUGGGAAUGCUGCUCUAAGCGGGAGGUAGACCCCUUCUAAAGCUAAAUAUUGGCCAGAGACCGAUAGCGCACAAGUAGAGUGAUCGAAAGAUGAAAAGCACUUUGAAAAGAGGGUUAAACAGCACGUGAAAUUGUUGAAAGGGAAGCGCUCGUGCCCAGACGUGCGCCGGGGCGAUCAUCUGGCGUUCUCGCCGGUGCACUCGCCCCGGCGCAGGCCAGCGUCGGCUCGGGCGGGGGGACAAAGGCGUCCGGCAUGUGGCCCCUCCGGGGGUGUUAUAGCCGGGCGCGUCAUGCUCCCGCCCGGGCCGAGGUCUGCGCUCUGCAAGGACGCUGGCGUAAUGGGCACUGGCGGCCCGUCUUGAAACACGGACCAAGGAGUCGAGGUCUUGCGCGAGUGUCUGGGUGCCAAACCCGCACGCGCAAUGAAAGUGAACGCAGGUGGGAGCUUCGGCGCACCACCGACCGAUCCUGAUGUUCUCGGAUGGAUUUGAGUAGGAGCGUGGGGCCUCGGACCCGAAAGAUGGUGAACUAUGCUUGGAUAGGGUGAAGCCAGAGGAAACUCUGGUGGAGGCUCGCAGCGGUUCUGACGUGCAAAUCGAUCGUCAAAUCUGAGCAUGGGGGCGAAAGACUAAUCGAACCAUCUAGUAGCUGGUUACCGCCGAAGUUUCCCUCAGGAUAGCAGUGUUGUCUUCAGUUUUAUGAGGUAAAGCGAAUGAUUAGGGACUCGGGGGCGCUCUUUAGCCUUCAUCCAUUCUCAAACUUUAAAUAUGUAAGAAGCCCUUGUUGCUUCGCUGAACGUGGGCACUCGAAUGCAGCAACACUAGUGGGCCAUUUUUGGUAAGCAGAACUGGCGAUGUGGGAUGAACCAUACGCGGGGUUAAGGUGCCGGAGUGGACGCUCAUCAGACACCACAAAAGGUGUUAGCACAUCUGGACAGCAGGACGGUGGCCAUGGAAGUCGGAAUCCGCUAAGGACUGUGUAACAACUCACCUGCCGAAUGUGCUAGCCCUGAAAAUGGAUGGCGCUCAAGCGUCCCACCC